UACGAAGGGGGCUAGCGUUGCUCGGAAUUACUGGGCGUAAAGCGCACGUAGGCGGCUCUUUAAGUCGGGGGUGAAAUCCUGGAGCUCAACUCCAGAACUGCCUUCGAUACUGAAGAGCUCGAGUCCGGGAGAGGUGAGUGGAACUGCGAGUGUAGAGGUGAAAUUCGUAGAUAUUCGGAAGAACACCAGUGGCGAAGGCGACUCACUGGACACGUAUUGACGCUGAGGUGCGAAAGCGUGGGGAGCAAACAGG
RNAcentral lists this ribosomal RNA (253 nucleotides) under uncultured bacterium. RNAcentral's name for it is "partial 16S ribosomal RNA". It matches the Rfam family "Bacterial small subunit ribosomal RNA", at positions 524 to 776 of the family's 1533-position model. The record is from RNAcentral.